This is a non-coding RNA of Podarcis lilfordi (Lilford's wall lizard), 121 nucleotides long. Lineage: Eukaryota; Metazoa; Chordata; Lepidosauria; Squamata; Lacertidae. The record is from the annotation of a GenBank genome assembly.
CCCGAAAUCAAGCGAGCUAUUUUUAGGCAGCGCUAAAUCAGAGUGCACCUGUCCCUGUAGCAAAAGGGUGGGAAGGCCUAUAAAGAGGGGUAAAAAACCAAUCGAGUUUGGUGAUAGCUGG